RNAcentral lists this transfer RNA (76 nucleotides) under Bacillota bacterium. RNAcentral's name for it is "tRNA-Arg". It matches the Rfam family "tRNA". From Rfam's summary of the family: Transfer RNA (tRNA) molecules are approximately 80 nucleotides in length. Their secondary structure includes four short double-helical elements and three loops (D, anti-codon, and T loops). The record is from RNAcentral. Lineage: Bacteria; Bacillati; Bacillota.
GGCCCCGUAGCUCAGUGGAUAGAGCAAUGGUUUCCUAAACCAUGUGUCGGGUGUUCGAGUCACCCCGGGGCCACCA